Macleaya cordata is the source of this 132-nucleotide ribosomal RNA. It matches the Rfam family "Bacterial large subunit ribosomal RNA", at positions 718 to 848 of the family's 2925-position model. Lineage: Eukaryota; Viridiplantae; Streptophyta; Magnoliopsida; Ranunculales; Papaveraceae. The record is from Rfam.
AAACAGACCAGUCUAGCCAUGAUCAGGUUGAAGAGAGCUCUAACAAGCCUUGGAGGACCGAACCCACGUAUGUGGCAAAAAACGGGGAUGACUUGUGGCUAGGGGUGAAAAGCCAACCAAGAUAGGAUAUAG